GAAAUGCGAUAAGUAGUGUGAAUUGCAGAAUUCAGUGAAUCAUCGAAUCUUUGAACGCACAUUGCGCCCUUUGGUAUUCCUUAGGGCAUGUCUGUUCGAGCGUCAUCUAAACCUUCAAGCCCCGCUUGGUGUUGGGUGCCUGUCCCGCCUCCGCGCGCGGACUCACCUCAAAUCCAUUGGCGGCCCCCGCGUCGGCCACGAGCGCAGCAGAAACGCGAACUCGUGAGCCCGUCCGGGCGGCUCCCAGAAGCUACACCCACCCAGUUUGACCUCGGAUCAGGUAGGGAUACCCGCUGAACUUAAGC
RNAcentral lists this unclassified non-coding RNA (305 nucleotides) under plant metagenome. RNAcentral's name for it is "partial contains 5.8S ribosomal RNA, internal transcribed spacer 2, and large subunit ribosomal RNA". The stretch from base 1 to 105 matches the Rfam family "5.8S ribosomal RNA", at positions 50 to 154 of the family's 154-position model. The record is from RNAcentral.